AGCUUUCCAUAGUGGAAUUAUUGCAGCCAGUGAGGUUUAUCUGAGGCGUGGUUAUUGCUAAUUGAAAUUAUAGAUGCUGUCCAAUUGUUUUAUAGUAUUUUACCCACACCUUUUUCAAAAGGACUUCCAGAAAAUAUUAGUCAGUCUGUUUAUUUCUGUUCCUCCUUUAUAUAGA
This 175-nucleotide small nuclear RNA is filed under the name Mus musculus (house mouse). RNAcentral describes it as "U4 spliceosomal RNA". The stretch from base 1 to 121 matches the Rfam family "U4 spliceosomal RNA". From Rfam's summary of the family: U4 small nuclear RNA (U4 snRNA) is a component of the major U2-dependent spliceosome. The structure of U4 snRNA from yeast and human has been reported. Lineage: Eukaryota; Metazoa; Chordata; Mammalia; Rodentia; Muridae. The record is from Rfam by way of RNAcentral.